GCCAUGAUGGCGCGGGGCGGGUGCGGCUGUGGGUGGCUCUGGGUGGACGCCUGAACACCUCACCUGUGACCCAGCGUAACUGGAGAAACAGAUUAUGUGUUCAGUGUGCUAUUGCUGUUUAGACGCGAGGAACCAGGACGUGCGGUGUUGGGAAGUUACAAUAACGUCUGUACCUGGGUAAAUAUCUAGACAGCUACCCCUAAUCUGAGGACACAACACUCCGUGCCUCCUAGUCCACGUCCCUUUUUGUCUAGAAACAGAAAGGAGUCUUUACAAAACUUCCCAUAUUUUUUUGAUAUUUAAAAACUCUGCCAACCUCUGUCUUCAGAGACAGACACAGACUCUGCUUCAGACAUUUCCUAUGCUGUAUGUACCAUGUACUACUGAGCUGAAAAUGAACCUCCUCAUGUUCUCAAGAGGCAUAUGGAAAUACUUACCCUUGUCCACUGAGUGGCUUUUGUCAGUGCCUCUCUGUAUCUCAACUCGUAUUCUGUAGGAGUUGUAGCUGGCAUGAGCAUAGUUCACUGCUAUCCAGAUAGAUGCAGAACGGUUCAUGAAGAGAUUUUUUCGUUCUAUUGUGAUGGAAGGUGAUGAAGUGUUUCUUCUAAAAAGCUUUGUGAUUCUCUCCCUUCAGAGAAGAGGAAUAAGAAUGAAAGCCAAACUUUUUGCUGGUUUAUCAUACACUUUUUUUUCCUCAUAAGCAUCAUUAUAACAACUCCUAGCUUUCCAGGUACUCAUAAACAAAGUCAUCAUUUUGAAAACUUGGAAGUGAGGACUGAGCAGCUUGAAACAGCAAAUGUAAUUCCAGUAUCCUAGCUAUCCUAGCUUAACCUUGCAAAUACAUGUUGUGCACUGGAGAACUGCUAAAUUCUUUACAUUUAUGAGGCACAGUGUGAUAAAAGACAAAGAUCUGUAUAGUUUUCUUUAAGAUUAAAAUGGGACAUAAACAGCUUUUAGAAGGUACUGUUAGAUGUGUGAGAGUUGAAGCUGUCAUGGUAAAAGUAAGCUAAUAGGGCAGGUCUACCAUCUAAAGAGUAUAUUUGCAAGAUAAAAAGUGCCUUCAACUUAUGCGACUGUACAGUAAAGCUUUUAUAUAAAAGUGAUUUUCAUAAUUGCUAUAUGCUUCAGGCUGGAUAAUGGAAACAUACGUUGUACAACCUUGAUUCUCAAUCAGGCCAACAGCUGGCCAAGUUUGUAUUAUAAAUUAAAAAAAAUUCAGUGGCCAUAACGUGUAUUGACUGUCCAGAAGUUCUUGGAGCCAUUUAGGCAGUUUGUUUUGCUACGUCAGCUACGGCAACCUUCUGGAAGCCAGCUGAAGUUUUAGCCUUUUCCUUUGAUCCGUAGUGAAAGCUUAAGUUCUGCAAGGUGUUCUUCAUGUAAGCAGUUGCUGCAGAAAUGUGGUCCUGGGUAUGUAGGAUUUGGGAGUACAUGUGAAUGCAAAGAAUGUGCAAAGAAAAGCAGGACUUAGGGAAAUAAGAUUUAACUUUUGUGUGUGUGUGUUUUCUCACACUCAGUUUUCAGGCAUUAAAUGGAAGACUGUUCUUGUUCUGUUUGGACAUCCCCCCAGAUCCUGCUCUGCCAUUUGCUCUCUGAUGCAUACAAAACAUAUGUCAUGGUUCUAUGUUUUUUGUUUUUGUUUUUUUGUUUUGGGUUUCAGUAUUCCACAUCAAAACAUCAUGUAGUGUACGGGGCAUUAAAGUGUCACUGCCCAAUCCCAGCUACCUAUCCCUGUACAUUACAGAAGUCACGGGAUCUGGCCCUUCCGGGUGGGGGGGGCGCUCUCUUGCUGCCUGGCAGUGGGUGCUGGAGGGUGCUUUCCUGGCCGUUCCAAGCUUUUCAGGUUUGAAUCGGUCCCGGGAACUCUCUCUCUCUCAUCUUGUCUGAUUUAUUAAUCUCAGUUUCAAUUAAAUUGUAUCUAUUGUGUUAUCUUGUAUUCCGAUAUUAUAGUAAAAUAAGUUUUCCUCCAUAGAUUGUUGCCGCUGUUCUUUUCCUCCCUUCCUUCCUUCCC
This is a long non-coding RNA of Lagopus muta (rock ptarmigan), 2008 nucleotides long. RefSeq lists it as uncharacterized. The transcript has 5 exons. Lineage: Eukaryota; Metazoa; Chordata; Aves; Galliformes; Phasianidae. The record is from RefSeq and is a predicted model, not a curated record.